UGGCGGACGGGUGAGUAACGCGUGGGCAACCUGCCCUGUACAGGGGGACAACACUUAGAAAUAGGUGCUAAUACCGCAUAACGGGGGAGCCGCAUGGCACCCCCCUGAAAACUCCGGUGGUACAGGAUGGGCCCGCGUCUGAUUAGCUGGUUGGCAGGGUAACGGCCUACCGAGGCGACGAUCAGUAGCCGGCCUGAGAGGGCGGACGGCCACACUGGGACUGAGACACGGCCCAGACUCCUACGGGAGGCAGCAG
RNAcentral lists this ribosomal RNA (256 nucleotides) under uncultured bacterium. Its description in RNAcentral is "partial 16S ribosomal RNA". It matches the Rfam family "Bacterial small subunit ribosomal RNA", at positions 96 to 354 of the family's 1533-position model. The record is from RNAcentral.